GAUGAACGCUGGCGGCGUGCCUAAUACAUGCAAGUCGAGCGAAUGGAUUAAGAGCUUGCUCUUAUGAAGUUAGCGGCGGACGGGUGAGUAACACGUGGGUAACCUGCCCAUAAGACUGGGAUAACUCCGGGAAACCGGGGCUAAUACCGGAUAACAUUUUGAACCGCAUGGUUCGAAAUUGAAAGGCGGCUUCGGCUGUCACUUAUGGAUGGACCCGCGUCGCAUUAGCUAGUUGGUGAGGUAACGGCUCACCAAGGCAACGAUGCGUAGCCGACCUGAGAGGGUGCGCGGCGUAGCUGAGACGGGAACGCGGCCGGGACUCCUGGGAGAGGGAGCAGGAGGAAAUCCUCCGGGGAGGAGGAAGGGCGGACGAAGGAACGCUGGGGGAGAGAUGGAUGCAGUCGGGUCGUGUGACUCAGUAAGUAGGGAAGAACGAGUGGUAGUUGAAUAAGCGAAGACAAUGACGGUACCUAACCAGGAAGCCACGGCUAACUACGUG
This 499-nucleotide ribosomal RNA is filed under the name uncultured bacterium. Its description in RNAcentral is "partial 16S ribosomal RNA". It matches the Rfam family "Bacterial small subunit ribosomal RNA", at positions 28 to 507 of the family's 1533-position model. The record is from RNAcentral.